UACGAAGGGGGCUAGCGUUGUUCGGAAUUACUGGGCGUAAAGGGCGCGUAGGCGGCCUGUUAAGUCGAACGUGAAAUCCCCGGGCUCAACCCGGGAACUGCGUCCGAUACUGUCAGGCUUGAAUCCGGGAGAGGGAUGCGGAAUUCCAGGUGUAGCGGUGAAAUGCGUAGAUAUCUGGAGGAACACCGGUGGCGAAGGCGGCAUCCUGGACCGGCAUUGACGCUGAGGCGCGAAAGCCAGGGGAGCAAACGGG
RNAcentral lists this ribosomal RNA (253 nucleotides) under uncultured bacterium. RNAcentral's name for it is "partial 16S ribosomal RNA". It matches the Rfam family "Bacterial small subunit ribosomal RNA", at positions 524 to 776 of the family's 1533-position model. The record is from RNAcentral.